RNAcentral lists this ribosomal RNA (339 nucleotides) under Stheneboea cf. tuberculata SB0465. RNAcentral describes it as "partial small subunit ribosomal RNA". Lineage: Eukaryota; Metazoa; Arthropoda; Insecta; Phasmatodea; Lonchodidae. The record is from RNAcentral.
UAGUUAUUUCUUUAAACCUAAAGAAUUUGGCGGUGUUUUAUUCUUAUUAGAGGAAUCUGUAUCUUAAUCGAUAAUCCACGGUUGGUUUUACUUAAUUUUGUUUUAGUAUGUAUAUCGUCGUUAUAAGUUUAUAUUAAAAGAUUAAUUUACUUAAUAUUUUAUUUUUUUAUAUUUCAGAUCAAGGUGCAGCUUAUAAUUAAGGGUAAUAUGGGUUACAAUAUUAUUUGAAUAUAUGGAUUUAUAUUUUAAUUGAUAUAAUGAAGGUGGAUUUAAUUGUAAUUUUAUUAAUUAAUAUUUUGAUUUUGGCUCUAAAAUGAGUACACAUCGCCCGUCGCUCUA